GGGAAAUUGGGGGGCUUUUUAUAUAUGUUUUUUUCCCCGUCAGGACGAACGCUGGCGGCGUGCCUAAUACAUGCAAGUCGAGCGGACAGAAGGGAGCUUGCUCCCGGAUGUUAGCGGCGGACGGGUGAGUAACACGUGGGUAACCUGCCUGUAAGACUGGGAUAACUCCGGGAAACCGGAGCUAAUACCGGAUAGUUCCUUGAACCGCAUGGUUCAAGGAUGAAAGACGGUUUCGGCUGUCACUUACAGAUGGACCCGCGGCGCAUUAGCUAGUUGGUGAGGUAACGGCUCACCAAGGCGACGAUGCGUAGCCGACCUGAGAGGGUGAUCGGCCACACUGGGACUGAGACACGGCCCAGACUCCUACGGGAGGCAGCAGUAGGGAAUCUUCCGCAAUGGACGAAAGUCUGACGGAGCAACGCCGCGUGAGUGAUGAAGGUUUUCGGAUCGUAAAGCUCUGUUGUUAGGGAAGAACAAGUGCAAGAGUAACUGCUUGCACCUUGACGGUACCUAACCAGAAAGCCACGGCUAACUACGUGCCAGCAGCCGCGGUAAUACGUAGGUGGCAAGCGUUGUCCGGAAUUAUUGGGCGUAAAGGGCUCGCAGGCGGUUUCUUAAGUCUGAUGUGAAAGCCCCCGGCUCAACCGGGGAGGGUCAUUGGAAACUGGGAAACUUGAGUGCAGAAGAGGAGAGUGGAAUUCCACGUGUAGCGGUGAAAUGCGUAGAGAUGUGGAGGAACACCAGUGGCGAAGGCGACUCUCUGGUCUGUAACUGACGCUGAGAGCGAAAGAACGCCC
Molecule: ribosomal RNA, 797 nt
Filed under: Bacillus pumilus
Lineage: Bacteria; Bacillati; Bacillota; Bacilli; Caryophanales; Bacillaceae
Description: bacterial SSU rRNA
Rfam family: Bacterial small subunit ribosomal RNA
Source: RNAcentral